AUGUAUAGAGAUAUCAUUGCUCUUUAUGAAGCUGAGAAAGCUAUGAUUAGAAAAUAUUUCAUUGGAUCACGUCAAACUGGGUGGAAUCUUAGAAAAAAAAUUAUUAACUUUGUCUUGGUAGAUGGACACAAAGGGGAUGACAUUGGUAAAUCAUUAGAAAAAUUACUUAUUGAGUGGGGCAUUGAGCGAGUGUGCACUAUUACUGUUGAUAAUGCAAGUUCUAAUGACACUUGCUUAGCCUACAUGAAGAGGUCUUUGACUAAUAGGGGUUGUACACAUGCAAAAAGUCAGUAUCUUCACAUGAGGUGUGUGGCACAUAUUGUUAAUCUAGUGGUCCAAGAUGGGCUAAAGAUAAUGUGCCAUCCAAUAAACAGAAUUCGAAGUGCUAUCAAGUUUGUGAGAGCCUCCCCAACUAGAUUGGAUUUAUUUAAAAAGUGUGUGCAGCUUAGCAAGGUAGCGAGUAAAGGUUUGAUUAAUAUUGAUGUGGCUACUAGAUGGAACUCCACAUUUAUAAUGCUAGAGACUGCUGAGAAAUUUGAGAGGGCAUUUGAGCAAUAUGCACUUCAGGAUCCCAACUACAAGACUGAGUUAGAAAAAACUGGUCCAGAACCUAAGCCUGAUACUCCUGAUCAGCGGGGUCCUCCAACUCAAAGUGAUUGGGUGUAUGUUCGUGAGUUCAAACAAUUCCUCCAACACUUCUAUCUCCUCACUAAUAAGGUUUCUGGCACUAAGUACGUUACAGCCAACACCUUCUUGGAAGAUAUUGCUGAUGUACAUUUUAUGUUGGGUCAAUGGAGUGAUCAUGUGAUUUGUGGUGAUGAUGAAAUAUUUAAAUGCAUGGCUACCAAGAUGAAAACCAAGUAUGAGAAGUACUGGGGUGAUCCUGAAAAGAUGAACAAGUAUAUAUUCAUUGUUGCCAUCCUUGAUCCAAGGACCAAGGAAUCUCAUUUCUUUAAAGAGAUGAUUGAAGACACCUAUGGCAGUAUAAUAGGUAAUAGAAUCUUGACAUCUUCCCACAAUGAAUUUGUCUCUCUUUUUGGAGAAUAUAGAGAAUUAUAUGGAACCAGUACUCCUAGCCGUCCUAGGGAAUUAGCAUCACAAGCUCGUCCUAGUGCAAAUGCUUCUGAAAAUUCUCUAGUGAGGUCACGAUACAACCAGAAAAGAAUGAGAGUUUGCGGAGAGGGCAGCACUAGCACAAAUACCAGAACUGAAUUAGACAAGUACCUAGCUGAGGACACAGAAGAGUUGACUGCUGAAUUUGACCUUCUUGAAUGGUGGAAGUGCAAUGCUCCUCGCUUUCCCGUCCUUUCAAAAAUGGCUCGUGAUAUACUAGCAAUCCCCAUCUCUACGGUUGCUUCUGAAUCAGCUUUCAGCACUAGUGGUCGUAUUCUCGAUGACUUCAGAAGCUCUUUAACACCAGCAACACUGCAGUCGUUGAUAUGCACACAAGAUUGGUUGCGUUCUAAGUGUAUCAAUGUUGAAGCUGAUCUUGCUGAGUUGACCAGGCUGGAGGAAGAAGUGGGUGCCAUUCAUUUAAAUGAUAAUGUGACAAUAUCGAUUGAUUGA
RNAcentral lists this ribosomal RNA (1566 nucleotides) under Triticum aestivum (bread wheat). RNAcentral's name for it is "partial small subunit ribosomal RNA". Lineage: Eukaryota; Viridiplantae; Streptophyta; Magnoliopsida; Poales; Poaceae. The record is from RNAcentral.